RNAcentral lists this ribosomal RNA (494 nucleotides) under uncultured bacterium. Its description in RNAcentral is "partial 16S ribosomal RNA". It matches the Rfam family "Bacterial small subunit ribosomal RNA", at positions 28 to 507 of the family's 1533-position model. The record is from RNAcentral.
GACGAACGCUGGCGGCGUGCUUAACACAUGCAAGUCGAACGGUGAAGCGCCUUCCUUUUUGGUGGGUGUGGAUGAGUGGCGAACGGGUGAGUAACACGUGGGUAACCUGCCCCCUUCUUCUGGAUAACCGCAUGAAAGUGUGGCUAAUACGGGAUAUUCUGGGUCUGUCGCAUGAUGGGUCUGGGAAAGAUAUUGUUUCGGUGGGGGAUGGGCUCGCGGCCUAUCAGCUUGUUGGUGGGGUGAUGGCCUACCAAGGCGGUGACGGGUAGCCGGCCUGAGAGGGUGGACGGUCACACUGGGACUGAGGCACGGCCCAGACUCCUACGGGAGGCAGCAGUGGGGAAUAGUGCACAAUGGGCGCAAGCCUGAUGCAGCGACGCCGCGUGAGGGAUGGAGGCCUUCGGGUUGUGAACCUCUUUCGCCAGUGAAGCAGGCCUGCCUCGUUUGUGGGUGGGUUGACGGUAGCUGGAGAAGAAGCGCCGGCUAACUACGUG